GCCAUCUCUCCAGCUCCCAAAAUUAGCCCUUUUUAAAAUUAAGAAUUGGUCCAGCAUUUGGGAGGCAGAGACAGGUGGAUCUUUGUGAGUCUGGUCUACAGAGUGAGUUCCAGGACAGUCGGGGUUGUUAGACAAAGAAACCCUGUAUUGAAAAAUCAAAACAACAACAAAACAGCCGGAAGAGGGAGACUGCUCAGUAGUUAAGAGUAGUUGCUGCUUUUGCAGAAGACACGGGUUCCCAGUACCUACGUAGUGCCUUACAGCUACCCCUAGCUCCAGUUCCAAAGGAUCCAAUGCCCUCUUCUGACCUCUUCAGGCACCAGGCACACAUGAGUGUAUGCAUACACAUAGACAAAACAUAAAGAUAAUAAUUUUUUAAACAUUAAAAUUAUUCAAAACACUUCAUAAAUACGGGCAUUCUCUGUCGCUAAUACUUUGGCCUUUUUCUUUGCAAGAAUCAUCUUUGCAAAGCCAAGUGUGAGCCUGGUCUACAGAGUGAGGUCCAGGACAGCCAGGGCUACACAGAAAAACCCUGUCUUGAAAAACAAAACCAAACAAACAACAAACAAAGUCAAGUGUGAUGGCUUUGAACCGCACAGCAGAGGCAGGUAGAGCUCUGAAUUAAAGUCCAGUCUGGUCCACAGAGGGAGUUCCUGGACUCCACAGAAAAACCCUGUCUUGAAAAACCAAACAAAGAAAAAAGAGAGAGAGAGAAGAAUCCUGUUUUCACAGUCACACGAUGGCUUCUGAGAUUCUGAAGGGACAGUUCACUUGGCCCUUGUGUACUCACUCUCAUUUAUGGAGUAAUUUCUGCCUGGGACCUGAGGUGCCUGCCUCAUUAGGUCACAUCCUGAGAUGGACCUGGGAACAAUAGAGAAGGUUAGCUGUCAGAAUGUUACAUUUCAAGCCAGAUGUGGUGUGUGCUUAUAAUCCCGGAGCUCCGGGGAUUUAGAGGAUUGAAUUCCAAGCCGCUCGGGGCUGCAUAAUGAGGCUCUGUUUCC
Molecule: long non-coding RNA, 1001 nt
Filed under: Mus musculus (house mouse)
Lineage: Eukaryota; Metazoa; Chordata; Mammalia; Rodentia; Muridae
Description: long non-coding RNA chr4:108343843-108344844
Source: RNAcentral